CUGGAAUCUCUCGGGGUUACAGCCUUGCUGAAUUAUUCACCCUUGUCUUUUGCGUACUUCUUGUUUCCUUGGUGGGUUCGCCCACCACUAGGACAAACAUAAACCUUUUGUAAUUGCAAUCAGCGUCAGUAACAAAUUAAUAAUUACAACUUUCAACAACGGAUCUCUUGGUUCUGGCAUCGAUGAAGAACGCAGCGAAAUGCGAUAAGUAGUGUGAAUUGCAGAAUUCAGUGAAUCAUCGAAUCUUUGAACGCACAUUGCGCCCUUUGGUAUUCCAAAGGGCAUGCCUGUUCGAGCGUCAUUUGUACCCUCAAGCUUUGCUUGGUGUUGGGCGUCUUGUCUCUAGCUUUGCUGGAGACUCGCCUUAAAGUAAUUGGCAGCCGGCCUACUGGUUUCGGAGCGCAGCACAAGUCGCACUCUCUAUCAGCAAAGGUCUAGCAUCCAUUAAGCCUUUUUUCAACUUUUGACCUCGGAUCAGGUAGGGAUACCCGCUGAACUUAAGCAUAUCAAUAAGCGGAGGAA
Molecule: ribosomal RNA, 522 nt
Filed under: Alternaria alternata
Lineage: Eukaryota; Fungi; Ascomycota; Dothideomycetes; Pleosporales; Pleosporaceae
Description: eukaryotic LSU rRNA
Rfam family: 5.8S ribosomal RNA (bases 148-301)
Source: RNAcentral